GGACUCGGGAAGGAGCGAAGAUGGCGGAGUGAGGCGUGCAGUUGCGAGCCGGCCGUUGGGCCGGGGGGCGGCAAGGCCCCCGGAGUGUCCAGUGCUUCUUCUAGUCGGUGCGAGGAAGAACAUUUUCUUUGGCUUCCAGGUGCUUUUAUAUUCAUCUUAAGAAGAAAGCAAAAAUCUGAACUCAGGAUUUGGCAAGUAUUCUGUGUUGUCUCCUGGAGUAAGUAGUCCUUUUAUCCAGCCACUUGCCCUAUUCUUGAAAUGUGGAUAUCUCUUCUCUACAUGUUUUACCUCCAUGGUUUGGAUUGGGAAAGGCUGCUUUUCUUUUUGUUCCUUUUCUCAGAUUCAACAUUGAGAGGCUCCUAGGAUACAGUUGUCUUGCCAAGUUCUCCAGAAAGAAAGAAGCAACUGACACACAUGUUCUGCUUUUUGCUUAAUUACAAAGAAAUUAUUUUGGAAGCUGAAACUGAUGCUUAAUUUGAAACAGGUGCUUAGAUGCUGGUGUAUGUUAAUACUUUACUUUUUGUUCCAAACAAGAAGACUAAAUACAGAGCAAGUAUGGAUGGUUUCAGGGGUUUUUUUUGUUGGUUGGGUUGUUUUUUUUUUUUAAUGUCUUCCAUUUUCGGCCACUGUCAUAAGCACAGUCGAAUCCGCAAGGAGUAAAUUUCAAAUAUGUGUUCUAAUAUAAAAUGAAAGAGAUGCUUAAAAACUACAAAUAUUAAAUAUCUAAAUCGUGACUCAUCCUUUGAAGUACAUUUGCUGGAAAAGAACAAAAGCCCAAUUUUGCAAUAAAACCUUUGAUGUGAUAAAGAAGCAUAAAGACAAAAUGAUUCAAGGUUAACAGAGUCUGUCAAAUAUACGUUCACAUGUGCAAAUCUAUAUUUUGGAUGAGAAGAGGGAUUUUUCUCCUAGAGAAGGAAGCUGUUGCUGGUUUCUGUCUCAGAAGUCUUUGGACAUUUCGCAUUUUUAAAUGAUUUUUCACUUUUCUAAGGAAGGACCACAUUGUACAUUUGCUAACCGUAUGAAUGCAUGGUUGAGUUUACUGAAAGUUCGGAAAAGGAAACAAAACAGCUUCAAGUCCAGUGAUGGAACCCUGUUCACCUCCCUCAGAUGAGAGGCUCCUAUAUUGCAAAUUACUCCAUUCUUUUUUGUGGAUUCUUACAUAGCACUUGAGACAUGGAAACAUGCUGCUAAGCAGGAACAAGUGUGGCUUAAGUGGUUUUUCUGUUCAGAAAAUAUGGUGGAUCCUCUGGUAUGACCUGCCUUCAACUUUGGGCAUGGAGGAAUGGGGAACAAAAACAUUUCCAGAGAAUUCCUUUCUCCUGAGAAAAAAGAAGCAAAAAUACCUUAUGCAGCUCCAUCUGACUUUAUGGCAUCUACAUUCUGUAGCUUCUGUUUUCUAAAAACAUAAAUAACUUUGUUCCUUUGACCCAAGAUGGGUACUCAGAUGUUUGGUUUAUUUUUUUAGGUGAGAUGUAAUGUUAGGCUGUAAAGGCUGGGACUCAGGUAACAUUCCCCAGUUGGAACUGAACUUACUCAUCAGAGAAUGGACUUCAGUAGCAAUGUUCCCAAAUUCGUGGUUGAUUUAGAAGAAAUUCAGGGUCUGGAAAACACCUCAAACAAGAAAAAUAGUUCAAUAAAAAUACGGAUCUUCCUCUUCUCUGUAAAGCUUACACCAUGUGAUGAACAGACAGUAAUAUAAAGCUAUUCUUGCUUCCAGAUCAACAGAGGACCAUUGUAUGAAUUGUCAGCUCUUUACAUAAGAAGAAGAAAACUGAGUCUUUGUGAGAAAAAAAUUGAAACUUCUUAGAUGCAAUUAAGAACAAAUUGCCUUAGGUCAUAAUCUGUGAUUUAGGGAAUUUGCCUAGGGUCACUCAUGCUGUGAUACUAAAAACUUAGGGCAAAUUUACCCUAAAAAAUUUAGCAGUGACAGAAAUGGCCAAAAGUGCUAAUUGUUGAGUACUUUUAGUGAUUAGUUAAAUUGGUCAACCUAUAUGAAUUGGCAUAAGAAAGCUUUUUAGUAAAAAUAAUUACAUAAUAUAGAUAUAAUUUCCUUUGAGGGCAAAUACUGAGUGGUACAGCAUAGAAAUAACUUUGGAUAAAGGUAACUUUAAGUAACUUCUCAGUCAACUUCUUGAUAUUUGCUUUUACUAUUUUGGAGUUGUUAAAGACAGAAAGGAACCUCCAUACAUGAGUCCCAUUGGUAUGUUGAGAAUUUAUAUCUUUAGUUUUCUGUUAUCCAUCUUCCCCAUGUCCUUUUUGCAGUGUUUUGGGUAAGAUCAUUUGGCAGAGGAUAGGGACUUUAUACUGUCAGCUCCAGUGAAACCAUCUCUGUUCCAUUUGUUUGAGUAUAUAUCAGACUCAUCUUCUCCAGUUGCUUUGUAUUUUUUAUUUCACAGCUAAAACCACUGUUAAAUGCUCUCAUUCAAGUUGUUCUUUGCAUCUUUAGUGGUUGUCACCAGAAAGCAUCUAACAAAAUGGGUCUAUGCCAGUUGUACUAGCCCAGUGUUUAUUUAAUAUGCCUACAUUUUCCCCUUGGGCUAUUUUGUUCCCUUCUUGAUGGGAAAAGCUGUAAUUUUAGGCAGGACUACACCUCGAUCAGUAGCUGUGCCUACUUACUUCCCUUUCCUCAUCCAUGUCAGCUGGCAGUUUUUCUUUUAAAAAGUUAAAAACGGGAUAUGUGCAAUAGAAAUAUAUAUAUAUGUAUAUUUUAAUACUUGUGGACAAAUGUUACAAGUUGUUUAAGAACAACAAAAUCACCAAUGUCUUCCAUUUUGAGAUGUGUAUAGUUUUGUAAGCAUUAGUGCUUGGUAGCAUAUUGUAGUGCCAUGUUAGGGGUUAGUGCAUGAGCCUAGUAAUAAUUUAAACUCCAGGAUGAAUUAUUGAUAAAAACCAAUAGUGUAAAAUGAGUGGAAAAUCGAGACUUUUCUUUUUUCAUAAAUACCAGAAUCAUGAUAUUCUCCCUGGGGAAAGGAGAUUAAGGCCAAAAAGACUCAGUUAUGAAUAGAACUGUGGGAUUACAGUGUAAAAUACCAUGUCUGAGGAGAGUGAAGCUUUCUCUGAGGUAGCUGGAAACCAGCUGCCUUCGUGUCUUAUGAAACCUCAUAUCAAAAUGAGGCCCCAUUUCAUGAUUCUGCUUUGUUCUCUUUGAGAUGAGAUUGUUCUUAUGCUGUUUUCACAUGGUAUGUCUUGUAAAUUUAUUAUUUAAUCCACUCCUUUUGCAUCAAGAAAUUAUUUUUUAUUUUGCAUGUGUUACUGAGAUGCUGUGUUAGUCACAUACUUUUCUAACCUGCAGACCAUUUAUAUUUCCUGUCUGCAGCAUGCUAAUUGUUCUGGAAGAACGCUGGUCAGUAGUUCAGUGUCCUACAUUAAUUUGUCACGGGCUUUUCCUGUUUCACAACCUGAAUUGUGUGUUGUUGGGAUUCCAGACCUUUUCAUAAGAGUUGGAAUGUAGCUAGAUGGAGCCUGAGCAGGUUGUUAUGUAAUAACUGUCUCUCUUGCUUGGUUAUAGUAAGCCACCUCAGACAGCUUUCACUUUUUCCUGCUUGUAAAAAUAAAAGUUGUUUUGUCCCAAAAGCGUAAGAUAGCUUUCUGUGGAAAAGAAAUACCUACCUCUAAAAGCUGCAUUGAGAACUUGAAAAGAGCAGUUUUCUGAGGUGAUUUUUAAAUCUCAGUAUUAGGAGAGUUCAGGAUUUAUUGACACAGAUUUUACAGUUACCAUGAUGAGAGACAAAACUAACGUGUCUCCAGUACACAAGUAGCUCAAGCAAGUAGACUCUGCAGCAGCAGAUAUCCAGGGACCCCGGUUUAGAUCAGAGUGUAAUUAAAGUAGUUGUACUCUUGGCUCUAGUAGUUCAGCGCCUGGGAGAAUCCAUUUCCAAAAAAGCAUUUAAAUAUUCUGAAAAAUACCUCUGAAAAGAUAAUGAAUGCAAAAUAGCACAGUAUAUAGGAAAGGAUAUUUCUUAUUGCAAAAAAAUAAAAAAUAAAAGCCAUAAAACGAAUAAUGAUUUUCAAGAGGUAGAAUCUUAGUAGCAAUAACAGUUUUGCAUGUAUAGCAAAUUGUAUUAGCAAUGUUGUACAAUAGAAAUAAAUAUUACUACUUGAGUUGGUGAACCUCUGUGACCAGCAGAGUUGCACCAAAGGAAGAUGUUUUAGGCAAAGAACAUAUAAAAGGUACUUUAAAAACUGAAUGUAUAUGAAUAUAUCAUUGUGUGAGAAAUAGCAACUUCUGUUUAAGUUAAAGGUUAGAGACCCUAUUUGUUUCCUAAAGCAGAGGGUUAGAGCCAUUGAAUGAAAUUUUUCUAGUGGUUAAUUAACCUGGAAACAAAUGCACUCCUACUGAUGUAGCCCCACGGACGCCAUCGAGUGGGGAUUUUGCUUAUGAUGUACUUUUCAGCAACAGGCGUUUAUAGAAGAGCCUACUUGGGGCUCUGUCACUGUUUCUUUUCUCCUUUAGUUCUCUGGGUGCAUUUUAAGAAUGGAAAAGUUUGGGGGUGGUGUGUGCGUGUAUGUGUGUGUUUGGGUUAAAAACAAACCAAGAACUUGGAUAGCUGGCUUUUCCUUAUGCCUGUGGUUAGUUUAGGGGAGUUAGAAUUUAAAGAUGUAAAGCAAAGGAUUGAACAGAACAGCCAAAGACAGCAUGUUGGUUUUAUAAACCUUGUCUUAUGUACAUGUGCUGAGGAUUUUGGUCUGUGACUAUUUUAAAGAUUUUAAUUAUUUAUUUGACAGACCGAGAUCACAAG
Enhydra lutris kenyoni (northern sea otter) is the source of this 4739-nucleotide long non-coding RNA. RefSeq lists it as uncharacterized. The transcript is spliced from 3 exons. The record is from RefSeq and is a predicted model, not a curated record. Lineage: Eukaryota; Metazoa; Chordata; Mammalia; Carnivora; Mustelidae.